GACGAACGCUGGCGGCGUGCUUAACACAUGCAAGUCGAGCGGUAAGGCCCUUUCGGUGGUACACGAGCGGCGAACGGGUGAGUAACACGUGGGUGACCUGCCCUCAGCUCUGGGAUAAGCCUGGGAACCCGGGUCUAAUACCGGAUAUGACUCCAUGACGCAUGUUGUGGGGUGGAAAGCCUUGUGCGGCUGAGGAUGGGCCCGCGGCCUAUCAGCUUGUUGGUGGGGUGANGGCCUACCAAGGCGACGACGGGUAGCCGGCCUGAGAGGGCGACCGGCCACACUGGGACUGAGACACGGCCCAGACUCCUACGGGAGGCAGCAGUGGGGAACCUUGCGCAAUGGGCGAAAGCCUGACGCAGCGACGCCGCGUGAGGGAUGACGGCCU
RNAcentral lists this ribosomal RNA (388 nucleotides) under uncultured bacterium. RNAcentral describes it as "bacterial SSU rRNA". It matches the Rfam family "Bacterial small subunit ribosomal RNA", at positions 28 to 417 of the family's 1533-position model. The record is from RNAcentral.